GUCGGUGCAUUUUUUGAGGCAAUAAAUACAUCGAUUUUCGAAAUCUGGUAGAUCAGUUACGUUCGCGGAAGAUUCAUAAGACACAGUCUUGCGAUUAUCAGAAUCAUCUGGAAAAUGGAUACGUUCGUCGUCGGGUACUACAGUUUUAUCAUAAGGUAAGCACUGACAUUUGAGAAUCACAAGCAAAUAAAAUACAAUAACACACAUUAAUAUAUUAGACAUUAUUGAUAAGCUUAUAACACGACUUUAACGACACUGGGUACUUGCGAAA
Long non-coding RNA from Leptidea sinapis, 271 nucleotides. RefSeq lists it as uncharacterized. The transcript is spliced from 2 exons. Lineage: Eukaryota; Metazoa; Arthropoda; Insecta; Lepidoptera; Pieridae. The record is from RefSeq and is a predicted model, not a curated record.